Molecule: ribosomal RNA, 497 nt
Filed under: uncultured bacterium
Lineage: Bacteria
Description: partial 16S ribosomal RNA
Rfam family: Bacterial small subunit ribosomal RNA
Source: RNAcentral
GAUGAACGCUGGCGGCGUGCCUAAUACAUGCAAGUCGAGCGAACGGACGAGAGGCUUGCUUCUCUGAUGUUAGCGGCGGACGGGUGAGUAACACGUGGAUAACCUACCUAUAAGACUGGGAUAACUUCGGGAAACCGGAGCUAAUACCGGAUAAUAUUUUGAACCGCAUGGUUCAAAAGUGAAAGACGGUCUUGCUGUCACUUAUAGAUGGAUCCGCGCUGCAUUAGCUAGUUGGUAAGGUAACGGCUUACCAAGGCAACGAUGCAUAGCCGACCUGAGAGGGUGAUCGGCCACACUGGAACUGAGACACGGUCCAGACUCCUACGGGAGGCAGCAGUAGGGAAUCUUCCGCAAUGGGCGAAAGCCUGACGGAGCAACGCCGCGUGAGUGAUGAAGGUCUUCGGAUCGUAAAACUCUGUUAUUAGGGAAGAACAUAUGUGUAAGUAACUGUGCACAUCUUGACGGUACCUAAUCAGAAAGCAACGGCUAACUACGUG